Molecule: ribosomal RNA, 400 nt
Filed under: uncultured bacterium
Lineage: Bacteria
Description: bacterial SSU rRNA
Rfam family: Bacterial small subunit ribosomal RNA
Source: RNAcentral
UGCAACGCGAAAAACCUUACCCACCUUUGACAUGUACGGAAGUUUCCAGAGAUGGAUUCGUGCUCGAAAGAGAGCCGUAACACAGGUGCUGCAUGGCUGUCGUCAGCUCGUGUCGUGAGAUGUUGGGUUAAGUCCCGCAACGAGCGCAACCCUUGCCAUUAGUUGCUACGAAAGGGCACUCUAAUGGGACUGCCGGUGACAAACCGGAGGAAGGUGGGGAUGACGUCAAGUCCUCAUGGCCCUUAUAGGUGGGGCUACACACGUCAUACAAUGGCCGGUACAAAGGGCAGCCAACCCGCGAGGGGGAGCCAAUCCCGUAAAGCCGGUCGUAGUCCGGAUCGCAGUCUGCAACUCGACUGCGUGAAGUCGGAAUCGCUAGUAAUCGUGGAUCAGAAUGUCA